CUUAACCUGAAGUGACGGAGUACCUGUUAUUUUUGAACCUACAGUUACUUUAAACGGGAUUCCUAUAUCUUUCAUCCUAUGUCAGGCCUCUAUAAGUGGAAGACAGAAGUUGAUUUGCGGUUACCCACCUGGCGUGUGAGCUAGGAGUCAAAAGGCAGGGACCUCAUUUCGGGCCUUUU
RNAcentral lists this non-coding RNA (179 nucleotides) under Lachnospiraceae bacterium. RNAcentral describes it as "6S RNA". It matches the Rfam family "6S / SsrS RNA". Rfam says of the family: E. coli 6S RNA was the first non coding RNA to be sequenced, but its function was unknown until recently. It consists of 184 nucleotides that fold into an extended hairpin structure with a large single-stranded internal bulge. The record is from RNAcentral. Lineage: Bacteria; Bacillati; Bacillota; Clostridia; Lachnospirales; Lachnospiraceae.